CAUGUCCUUUUGAUUAUAAUUUAAGGUCUAAUCUGCCCACUGAUAUUUUAAAUGGCCGCAGUAAUUUGACUGUGCUAAGGUAGCAUAAUCAUUAGUUUUUUAAUUGAAAGCUGGUAUGAAUGAUUGGAUGAAAUAAAAACUGUCUCUGUUUUAUUAGUUUAGAAUUUUAUAUUUAAGUUAAAAAGCUUAAAUUUAAUUAAAAGACAAGAAGACCCUAUAGAGUUUUAUAUAAUAUAAUAAAUUAAAAUUAUUAUUUUAUAUAUUUUAUUUAUUUAUAAUUAUAUUUUAUUGGGGUGAUAGAAAAAUUUAAUAAACUUUUUUUUUAUUAAAACAUAAAUUUAUGAAAUAUUGAUCCAUUUUUUAUGAUUAAAAGUUUAAAUUACCUUAGGGAUAACAGCGUAAUUUUUUUUAAGAGUUCUAAUCGAAAAAAAAGAUUGCGACCUCGAUGUUGGAUUAAAGUUUAUUUUUGGUGUAGAAGCUAAUAAUUUAAGUCUGUUCGACUUUUAAAACUUUACAUGAUCUGAGU
RNAcentral lists this ribosomal RNA (526 nucleotides) under Charopus flavipes. Its description in RNAcentral is "partial 16S ribosomal RNA". The stretch from base 390 to 526 matches the Rfam family "Bacterial large subunit ribosomal RNA", at positions 2473 to 2610 of the family's 2925-position model. Lineage: Eukaryota; Metazoa; Arthropoda; Insecta; Coleoptera; Melyridae. The record is from RNAcentral.